UACGGAGGGNGUUAGCGUUGUUCGGAAUUACUGGGCGUAAAGCGCGCGUAGGCGGACCAGAAAGUUGGGGGUGAAAUCCCGGGGCUCAACCCCGGAACGGCCUCCAAAACUCCUGGUCUUGAGUUCGAGAGAGGUGAGUGGAAUUCCGAGUGUAGAGGUGAAAUUCGUAGAUAUUCGGAGGAACACCAGUGGCGAAGGCGGCUCACUGGCUCGAUACUGACGCUGAGGUGCGAAAGUGUGGGGAGCAAACAGG
This 253-nucleotide ribosomal RNA is filed under the name uncultured bacterium. RNAcentral describes it as "partial 16S ribosomal RNA". It matches the Rfam family "Bacterial small subunit ribosomal RNA", at positions 524 to 776 of the family's 1533-position model. The record is from RNAcentral.